Molecule: unclassified non-coding RNA, 342 nt
Filed under: soil metagenome
Description: partial contains 5.8S ribosomal RNA, internal transcribed spacer 2, and large subunit ribosomal RNA
Rfam family: 5.8S ribosomal RNA (bases 1-120)
Source: RNAcentral
GAUGAAGAACGCAGCAAAAUGCGAUAAGUAAUGUGAAUUGCAGAAUUCAGUGAAUCAUCGAAUCUUUGAACGCACAUUGCGCCCGCCAGUAUUCUGGCGGGCAUGCCUGUUCGAGCGGCAUUUCAACCCUCAAGCCCCCGGGUUUGGUGUUGGGGAUCGGGCUGUACUCCAGCCCGGCCCCGAAAUCUAGUGGCGGUCUCGCUGCAGCCUCCAUUGCGUAGUAGCUAACACCUCGCAACUGGAACGCGGCGCGGCCAAGCCGUUAAACCCCCAACUUCUGAAUGUUGACCUCGGAUCAGGUAGGAAUACCCGCUGAACUUAAGCAUAUCAAUAAGCGGAGGA